CCCUGAGAGCCAUGCCGCGUGUAUGAAGAAGGCUCUUCGGGUUGUAAAGUACUUUCAGCGAGAGGGGGCUUCCAUAAUAACCUCAGAGAUUGAAGUUACCCGGAAAAAGGCAUCGGGUAAAUUCUUUGCAGCAGCCGCGGUAAUACGGAGGGGGGAAGGGUUAAUCGGAAUUACUGGGGGUUUUCCACCUAAAAGAGGGGGCUGUCAAGUCGGAAGGGAAAUCCCCGGGCUCAACCUGGGAACUGCAUUCCAAACUGGGAGGCUAGGUCUUGUAAAGGGGGGUAGAAUUCCAGGUGUAGCGGUGAAAUGCGUAAAGAUCUGGAGGA
This 326-nucleotide ribosomal RNA is filed under the name uncultured Pantoea sp. Its description in RNAcentral is "partial 16S ribosomal RNA". It matches the Rfam family "Bacterial small subunit ribosomal RNA", at positions 381 to 705 of the family's 1533-position model. The record is from RNAcentral. Lineage: Bacteria; Pseudomonadati; Pseudomonadota; Gammaproteobacteria; Enterobacterales; Erwiniaceae.